Molecule: ribosomal RNA, 502 nt
Filed under: uncultured Glomus
Lineage: Eukaryota; Fungi; Glomeromycota; Glomeromycetes; Glomerales; Glomeraceae
Description: SSU rRNA
Rfam family: Eukaryotic small subunit ribosomal RNA
Source: RNAcentral
AGCAGCCGCGGUAAUUCCAGCUCCAAUAGCGUAUAUUAAAGUUGUUGCAGUUAAAAAGCUCGUAGUUGAAUUUCGGGACUAGUACGCUGGUCAUGCUUUUGGUAUGUACUGGUGUUACUGGUUCCUACCUUCUGACGAACCGUCAUGUCAUUCAUUUGGUGUGGCGGGGAAUCAGGACUGCUACUUUGAAAAAUUAGAGUGUUUAAAGCAGGCUCGCGCUUGAAUACAUUAGCAUGGAAUAAUGAAAUAGGACGUUUGAUCCUAUUUUGUUGGUUUCUAGGAUUGACGUAAUGAUUAAUAGGGAUAGUUGGGGGCAUUAGUAUUCAAUUGUCAGAGGUGAAAUUCUUGGAUUUAUUGAAGACUAACUACUGCGAAAGCAUUUGCCAAGGAUGUUUUCAUUAAUCAAGAACGAAAGUUAGGGGAUCGAAGACGAUCAGAUACCGUCGUAGUCUUAACCAUAAACUAUGCCCGACUAGGGAUCGGAUGAUGUUAUUUUUAANGA